CCUACGGGUGGCAGCAGUGAGGAAUAUUGGUCAAUGGACGCAACUCUGAACCAGCCAAGUAGCGUGCAGGAUGACGGCCCUCCGAGUUGUAAACUGCUUUUAGUUGGGAAUAAAAGGGGGCUCGUGAGCCCCGUAUUGUAUGUACCAUCAGAAAAAGGACCGGCAAAUUCCGUGCCAGCAGCCGCGGUAAUACGGAGGGUCCGGGCGUUAUCCGGGUUUAUUGGGUUUAAAGGGAGCGUAGGCCGGCUUUUAAGUCAGCUGUGAAAGGCCGCGGCUCAACCGUGGAAUUGCAGGUGAAACUGGAGGCGUAGAGUGCAAACAGGGAAGCCGGAAUGCAUGGUGUAGCGGUGAAAUGCUUAGAGAUCAUGAAGAACUCGGAUCGCGAAGGCAAGUGUCCGGGGUGCAACUGACGCUGAGGCUCGAAAGUGCGGGGAUCAAACAGGAUUAGAUACCCGAGUAGUC
This 462-nucleotide ribosomal RNA is filed under the name uncultured bacterium. RNAcentral's name for it is "partial 16S ribosomal RNA". It matches the Rfam family "Bacterial small subunit ribosomal RNA", at positions 338 to 795 of the family's 1533-position model. The record is from RNAcentral.